Molecule: ribosomal RNA, 438 nt
Filed under: uncultured bacterium
Lineage: Bacteria
Description: bacterial SSU rRNA
Rfam family: Bacterial small subunit ribosomal RNA
Source: RNAcentral
AACGCGAAUGAACCUUACCUGGGCUCGAACGGCUUCUCAACGCCGGUAGAAAUACCGGUACCCCGCAAGGGGGUGGAGUCGAGGUGCUGCAUGGCUGUCGUCAGCUCGUGUCGUGAGAUGUUGGGUUAAGUCCCGCAACGAGCGCAACCCUUGUCCUGUGUUGCCAUCAUUCAGUUGGGAACUCGCAGGAGACCGCCAGCGAUAAGCUGGAGGAAGGUGGGGAUGACGUCAAGUCCUCAUGGCCUUUAUGUCCAGGGCUACACACGUGCUACAAUGGACGGUACAAACCGCAGCAAACCCGCGAGGGGGAGCCAAUCGGAAAAAACCGUUCUCAGUUCGGAUUGCAGGCUGCAACUCGCCUGCAUGAAGCUGGAAUCGCUAGUAAUGGCAGUAUCUAGCACGCUGCCGUGAAUACGUUCCCGGGUCUUGUACACACCG